AAGCCCCAUGUUAAUACUGUUCAGCCCCCAACUCCUGGUUUCUUAGUAACUAAAACUUAUUGCAAGUAUUUUAAUUUCUUCUAAAUCAGAUUAUAUAUUAUGCACAUAUGAUAUUUGGAUAUUAAAAUUGAGGACUUUUUUCCCCCACAGAUGAGCAUUUGUUAAAUGUUUAUAUAUUCCUGAGAAUGAUACCAAUUAUUAUAUAUAUUAAGCAAACUCACAAGACUCAAGUGAACUUGGCUUUGCAGUGGAAUACCGUUUAUGUUUUUCAGUCUUAGGUAGCUUAUUAAAAUUGAUGUUUUCCUUUCAGUAAAUAUCUGGUGACAUUAAAAUUUGAUAAUUAAAAUCCAGAAGCACUCAAGAAAGAAUGCCUGCUUUUAGUUUCAUAAUAACAAUACUCCCACAAAGAAAGUUGAUGAAUGAUGUCUUUCAAGUGGCAGAGUUGUUAUUUAGUUAAAGAAAGCUCCUUUGGCAGUUUCUUACAAAACUAAAUUAAAGUUUGUUUAUAAAACAGACAAGCUACAGUGAUAAUCCUAUAGCCUCAAGAGUGCUUGGAAUCUAGCCCAAGAAGAGUCUUGUUUUUCAGUGAUUUAACAAAGAAGUGGAGUUUCCAAGAAUCCAAACAGAUUAGCAUUCAGUGCUAAUUGGAUUUAUUGUUUGAGCAUGAGUUUUUGUUUGAGGAUAUAUGUAUACAUCAAUGGUUCAUAGAUGUGCUGUAAACAGCAAGACACAUGAGAUCAUUACAAAAAGUGCCCUUUAUAGAUUAAAAUAAUAAAGAGAGAUUGAGGCUCUGUUGUUCAGUGGAAACAUUGAAGAACAAAUUAAACUGAAAGAUAAUUUAGAUGUUCUAUUGAAAUGUAUUACUUUGAACAUCUGAUCAUGUGAUUAUAAUAUACCACUUUCACAUAUAAUCACAAAUGUGUGACUGUAUUUGUUUCUUCGGGCUGCGGUAACGAAGUACCACAUACUGGGUGGCUUAAACGAGAGAAAUUUAUUCUCUCACAUUUCUGGAGGCAAGAAAUCUGAAAUCAGGGUGUCAGCCAGCAGGGCCUUGCCCCUCAGAACCCUCUAGAAUAGGUAAUUUCUUUGUCUGUCUCAGUUUCUGGUAGCUCCAGGAAUUCCUUAGCUUAUGGCAGCUUGUGGAAUUCCUGUUGCAGCUUCAUUUUUUAAGGACACAAGGCAGGAAAGGGGAAGGGCAACUCCACACGUGUCUGUCUUCUUAUCUUGAAUUGCAAAGCUGUCCCAGUACCUUACCACCUACUUGCUUCUCUAGCAGAUUCUCUUCCAUAUUAUUUAAGCCACUGGGUCACUCCAGGUUACAAAGGUUUAGACCCAAAUAAUUGGUUUCAGUAGUUUGUUCUCAUUACAAUUGCAUAUGUAAAAAAUACUUUUUGAUAAAGCAACUGAAACUUUGAAGUUGAUAAUUUAUCACAAUACUUUUUUCCCCAUUAUAUCAACACUUGGCAAACUACAGACUGUGAGCCUAAUCCAGGUUGUAUUUCCUUCUGUGAGUAAAUUUUCAAUGGCGGAGCCAUGCUCAUUUAUUUACUUACUGUCUGUGGCUACAAUGGCAGAGUAAAGGUAAGCGUGUUAGAAAGAGAGGAUGGGGCUGCUGGACUUCAUUGAGAGGAUCUUUUGAUUUCAGAAACCAUUAGUGAAGGAAAGGUGUACUAGACAGAGCUGUCAUAACCUUUUUACUAUUUCUUAAGAGAAGUGGUACCUCUGAGAGUUGUGUAACAUGGUGGUCUUCCCACAUCUUUAUCAAGAGAUUAAUUAAGGUUGUGAAGUAAAGCUUUAGAGGUGAGGCACAAAAGGCAAGCAGUGUUUACCUCUAAUCACUCGAGGUAACCUUUAUAUUGGAAGAUCAGUGUAGAUGUAUUGUGUACCAGAUAACAUUCCAUUAUGUAACUAUUCUUUAUUUACUUCCUCUACUGUAUGUGUGGCAUCAUUCCAGCAUCAAGUUUAAUCCUUCUUUGUAUGCAUUUAUUGUAAACUGUCAUUUAUGUGGGAUUAAAAUAACUGGAAAGCCUAAAUAACUGGAAUUCUUGUAGCAUGUUUGGUACUUGACAUUUAAAAGAGAGACAGAUGGCAAGUAAACAAGUUAAAAUGAAGAUAAAGAGCCUUGAAAAAUGGCUGAUGCUAAUAGUUCAUGGAGAUUAAUAAGUGAUAUGUGAAAGGCAGACUGUCCUGUAGUUGCAAAAUGUUACAUAGUUUGUACACCUUGUCAGCGUUGUGAUAACAUGAAGUCAUAGUUUAAUUGGUAAACAAGAAAAGCUUCCAAUAAAGUGUCCCAUGGAUGAUCUUUUCCUUUGAGACUGCAGCAUUUCUGAAGAAUAUAGGGUAUCUUGUGAUACAGCAAGUACUUGUCACAGUUUCUGUUUCUUCGUUUUCUUCACCACUGUCACCACAGUGCCUACUUCAUUUCCAACACGGUGUAGGUACUCAAUACAGAUUGAAGGAAUGAAGGAUAGAUAAUGCACUCAUCUUGAGCUACAUCCUAUUUAGUGAGCACCAUAAAACUUGGCAGGCAUUGUUAGACCUUUAUAUGGACAAGAGCUUUGAUGUGGACAUUAAAAUUUCAAAAUUGCUAUAACAGAGGUGCUGUUGGGGUAGUUUCUUAGUUGUAUAUGGGUCGUAUAUUGUAUAUGGGAAUCUUUUUAUGGUACACAUCUGUUUUCAUCAAAUAGGUUCUCAUUUCUACUUGAGGGAAGCUCACAAUUUUCAGGAAUCACGGAGGAUGGCAUUUGAGCCCGCCUGGCGGUCUGAGCCCACCUGGAGAUCCCCAUCCUUUCAAUGGGGAAAUGUAUUUGAGCUAUUCCCCAAGCUAAUGCUCAGGUAGGAGAUACAGGCAGGAAAAGAUGUCAUGGAAGAUAUUUUAAAGGAAUGGGAGUAUACGCCUAGCUUAGAAUACAAUAUGUGAAAGCAUAUUGUAUUGUGGUUCUUUGGUGCUGGAUAUCUCAGGAGUGGAGGAAUUGAAGGAUUGUGUUUUCAUUUUUACACUUUUUCUCUUCUGCUCUUCUGAUUUUUCAACCAUGAACAUGGUUAUGUGUAUGGUCUGGUUUGGGG
RNAcentral lists this long non-coding RNA (3066 nucleotides) under Homo sapiens (human). RNAcentral's name for it is "HSALNT0313299". The record is from RNAcentral. Lineage: Eukaryota; Metazoa; Chordata; Mammalia; Primates; Hominidae.